RNAcentral lists this ribosomal RNA (447 nucleotides) under Gemella haemolysans. Its description in RNAcentral is "bacterial SSU rRNA". It matches the Rfam family "Bacterial small subunit ribosomal RNA", at positions 28 to 462 of the family's 1533-position model. The record is from RNAcentral. Lineage: Bacteria; Bacillati; Bacillota; Bacilli; Caryophanales; Gemellaceae.
GACGAACGCUGGCGGCGUGCCUAAUGCAUGCAAGUCGAGCGAAGUUUUUCUGGUGCUUGCACCGGAAAAACUUAGCGGCGAACGGGUGAGUAACACGUAAAGAACCUGCCUCAUAGACUGGGACAACUAUUGGAAACGAUAGCUAAUACCGGAUAACAGCAUUAACUGCAUGGUUGAUGUUUAAAAGUUGGUUUUGCUAACACUAUGAGAUGGCUUUGCGGUGCAUUAGCUAGUUGGUGGGGUAAAGGCCUACCAAGGCGACGAUGCAUAGCCGACCUGAGAGGGUGAUCGGCCACACUGGGACUGAGACACGGCCCAGACUCCUACGGGAGGCAGCAGUAGGGAAUCUUCCGCAAUGGGCGAAAGCCUGACGGAGCAACGCCGCGUGAGUGAAGAAGGAUUUCGGUUCGUAAAGCUCUGUUGUUAGGGAAGAAUGAUUGUGUAGUA